AUACUUAAAACCUAUUUAUAAUGGCGGCAUUUUAUUAUUAUUAGAGGAACCUGUUUAUUAAUCGACAAUCCACGAUAAUUUUCACUUUAAUUAAAAGUUUAUAUACCGCCAUCUAAAGAACUAAUUACUAUAAUUUUAUUCUUAAUAAAAAAUAAAAAGUUAGGUCAAGGUGUAACCUAUAUAAAAGAUAAAAAUGGGUUACAUUAAACCUUAUUUAAGGACUAUAUUAUAAAAAUAAUAUUUAAAAAAGGAUUUAAAGGUAAUAUUAAAAUAAUAAUUGAAUAUGAACAAGAUAAAAAAUGUGCACACAUCGCCGGUCGCUCUUA
This 326-nucleotide ribosomal RNA is filed under the name Hippasella alhue. Its description in RNAcentral is "partial 12S ribosomal RNA". Lineage: Eukaryota; Metazoa; Arthropoda; Arachnida; Araneae; Lycosidae. The record is from RNAcentral.